RNAcentral lists this small nuclear RNA (104 nucleotides) under Propithecus coquereli (Coquerel's sifaka). The record is from RNAcentral. Lineage: Eukaryota; Metazoa; Chordata; Mammalia; Primates; Indriidae.
GUACUCACCUCAGCAACACAGAUACUAAAAAUUGGAACAAUACAGAGAUUAGCAUGGCCCUUGUACAGGAUGAUGCAGAAAUUCGUGAAGCAUUCCAUAUUAAA